UGGGGAAUAUUGGACAAUGGGGGCAACCCUGAUCCAGCCAUGCCGCGUGUGUGAAGAAGGCCUUUUGGUUGUAAAGCACUUUAAGCAGUGAAGAAGACUCCAUGGUUAAUACCCAUGGACGAUGACAUUAGCUGCAGAAUAAGCACCGGCUAACUCUGUGCCAGAAGCCGCGGUAAUACAGAGGGAGCAAGCGUUAAUCGGAAUUACUGGGCGUAAAGCGAGCGUAGGUGGCUUGAUAAGUCAGAUGUGAAAGCCCCGGGCUUAACCUGGGAACGGCAUCUGAUACUGUUAGGCUAGAGUAGGUGAGAGGAAGGUAGAAUUCCAGGUGUAGCGGUGAAAUGCGUAGAGAUCUGGAGGAAUACCGAUGGCGAAGGCAGCCUUCUGGCAUCAUACUGACACUGAGGUUCGAAAGCGUGGGUAGCAAACA
RNAcentral lists this ribosomal RNA (427 nucleotides) under uncultured bacterium. RNAcentral's name for it is "partial 16S ribosomal RNA". It matches the Rfam family "Bacterial small subunit ribosomal RNA", at positions 355 to 774 of the family's 1533-position model. The record is from RNAcentral.